RNAcentral lists this ribosomal RNA (253 nucleotides) under uncultured bacterium. RNAcentral's name for it is "partial 16S ribosomal RNA". It matches the Rfam family "Bacterial small subunit ribosomal RNA", at positions 524 to 776 of the family's 1533-position model. The record is from RNAcentral.
GACGAACCGUGCGAACGUUGUUCGGAAUCACUGGGCUUAAAGGGCGCGUAGGCGGCUUACCAAGUCAGGGGUGAAAUUUUGCGGCUUAACCGUAACAGUGCCUUUGAUACUGGUAGGCUCGAGGGAGAUAGGGGUCUGCGGAACUUCCGGUGGAGCGGUGAAAUGCGUUGAUAUCGGAAGGAACGCCGGUGGCGAAAGCGGCGGACUGGAUCUCUUCUGACGCUGAGGCGCGAAAGCUAGGGGAGCAAACGGG